This is a long non-coding RNA of Passer domesticus (house sparrow), 6145 nucleotides long. RefSeq lists it as uncharacterized. The record is from RefSeq and is a predicted model, not a curated record. Lineage: Eukaryota; Metazoa; Chordata; Aves; Passeriformes; Passeridae. The transcript has 3 exons.
CCUCAGGGGCUCUGAGGGGAGCGCGGCUCCCAGCAGCCCCGCUCCGCCCGCACAGGAGACACAAACAUGGAGCACGAUAGAAAAUUUCGAUAGCUAAACCGAAUUGUAUUUUUAUAUCUUUUAUUGUAAAGAAAGCAAGCAAGCAGUGCUGGGUGGCCAGGGAGUCACUGCUCUACUCACGGCAUACACCACUUAAAACUUCAGCAAAGUAUAUACUGGUUUUAGGCCUACAAAGCAUUUUCCAAUGUGUUUAGUUAGUCCAAAUCAGCAAAUAUCAAUAAGCUGAGAUCAACAAUUUCAUAAUCUUUCCAGAUAGUCAUUGGCUUCCUGUCCUUUUUGUGGUCAUCUGGAGGGAGGCCUUAGACUGGUAUCUACUCCUGAUUUUGUUAAGUGCAUCAAGCUUUUUAUUAUACAUAAGCAUUUAGUUGCUUUGUUGCAAUAUCUCUUAGCUUUACCACAGCUUCUUCUCUUUUAUUCUAAGCAUCAGUUAGGCAAUCACAAAUCAUAUGAAAUUUCAAGACCAAGAGCAAUUGCCAGAUUCUCCACCUGGGAUGGAGUAAUCCUAUACCUACAGAGAAAUCGGAGAAUGAGAAAUCUGUGAGUUUCAAUCCAUGGCAAGUUGAAUAUGAAUUAACAGUGUGUCCUUGCAGCCAAAAGGGCCAAGAGUAUCCUGAGGUGCCUCGGGCACUGCAUGGAGGUGAUUGUCCACUCCACUCUGCGCUGGUGUGGCCUCACCUCGCGUGCUCUGUACAGUUUCAGGCACUACAAUAAAAGAAGUCUAUAAAGAUAUUCGGCUGUGUCCAGAGGACAGUGACCAAGAUGGAGAAAUAUCUUGAGGGGAGCACCUAUGAGGAGGGGCUGAGGGGGCACUUGUUCUGUUCAGCUCAGAAAAAGAAGGGUGAGGGGUGAUUUAAUCACAGUCUACAACUUUGGAAAAGGGGGCAGCAGGAGGGCAACAGAGGUGUAGACACUGAUCUUCUCUUUCUGGUGACCAUCCAAAGAACCCAAGGAAAUGGAAUGGUGUUGCAUCAGACAAGUCCAGACUGGGCAUCAGGAGAAACUUCACUGGGAGGGUGAUCAGUCACUGGACUAGAAUCAGGAAAAUGGUUGCUGCAUUAAGCCUAUCAGAGUUCAGAGGGUGUCUGGACAAUGCUUUCAGUCAUAUGGUUUUAUUUUAGGAAGUACUGUGAGGAAUAGGGUGUUGGACUUGAUGAUUCACAUGGGUCCCUUCCAAUUUUUGAGAUAUUUGAGAUAUUCUAUUAUUUGAGAUAUUCUAUGAUUCUGGAAGAAUCAUGGGUGGAAGAGAUAGAGAGACAAACUUGCUAUGUAUGAAACCUGCCUUGAGUCAGACAAUGUGCAUAAUGGGUACUGUUCCAGGUGACAGCAAUGGAUCGUCAAUUGUCAAAUAUGACAUGUCUCAAACUCAUGUGUUACUUCAUAACUUUACCUUCAAGCAAUUUGAUUUCUGAUACUUAUAUAAAGUCACAAGUAAUUUUAAUAAAUGACAAAAAUCAAUUUUACCCAAAGCCUAUCAAACAUCCACUACUUCCAUUUAUCUUUAUGAAACUCCCUCCAUACAGCUGCAUCUCUGCACGCUUCAUAACAAAAAUCACUUUCCAUGUCAGCAUCUACUAAUGAAUCUUCUUUAAUUGCUGACAGCAGAAUGCACAACAUCAGUUUCUUCUGUGAAGCCAAAUCCAGCUCAUGUUGCUCAUUCUUCAUAGCUGCUAAAGUAAAUGGCAAGCACAGCAGCCACAAUGAUUUGGUACAUCAAGUUUAAGCUGAUGUUCCAGAGACUGCACCAGAACCUGACUACCCAAUACCAGGUGUUAAGCCUGGUUAACACCAUGACCCAACCAGCACAAGCUGGAAAAUAUGGAUGUUAUGUAAUUCUCCAGGCCAAAUCAAACCUCUCAGAAGUUUUGUGCUGUACUUGAGGAAGAUCACAAAGUUCAGAACUAUUCUUAUUUUUCUCAGCUGUUUGCUUGCUAAUUGGUGUCAAGUCAGCUUUGUUUAAGCACAGUGUCUUUCCUCAUGGAGAAACUCCCAGCCCUGUGAUUCUCCUUCUUCUGUGAGAGCUGCUCCAUGGUACCCCAGGAAUGAACAUCAUGUUGAGUAUUUCUGUUUGUGACUGUGUUCUCCUUAAAAAUUACAGAAUAUGAGUGAGAAGUUGCAAAUAGCAAAAUUGUGUCUAGUUUAAAGCACUGGGAAUUCUGGUACUUCUGAAUGCAUUCAAGAUAUCAAGUAAUCCACAGCAAAGUAUAUGACACAGGUCGAGACUCUGCUUUACAAGUUGUAAGGCCCUGGCUACCUGGGGUAAAAUAGUCACCACAGGCUCUGUGUGCUCUGCUUGCACCAUUUGGAGCUACAAUGAGUACUGGAAAUCAUGCCUGGAUCAUGCCAUCUUUCAUUUUUGCUGUCAUCUUGGCUGUAUGUCAAACUCCCCAUGACAAAGUGGAAAUAUAUCUGUUCCCCUUCAUUAUUUCUUUCCUUACAAGCAUAUGCAUGCAAACAAAGACAAAGUAAAACUUCCUCCUAGUAAGGAUGCUAAGCAUCAUACUAUGUUUCAGUUCUACACAUUGAUUUUCUUGUGUGUCCUUCCAAUUUCACCUGAGUAAAUUGAUCACCACUAUACCUUACUAGGCUAGGAAUCAGCUCCAGGUUGACUGGAAAGCUGCAAUAAAAUAAAAAAUGAAAGGCAUUUACUUGUAUUAUGAACAAUAAAUAUUUCAUUAAAAUUCCUCCCAUCCCUCAGCUCCCUUCUGGAUGGAUUAACCAUGUCACCCAUGCUGUUUGCUGAUAUGUUGUCUCUGAUGUCUGAAGCAGGAAGAAAUGGAAUCAAGCACUCCCAGAGAAUCACUUGACUACAGUCAAGUGACAGAUUACAGCCAUCAAGAGAUUUUCUCAUCAGAUAUAGUAACCAGCCACCUUGAAAAUAGUUAAUAAAACAACUUGACAAGAAAUCCACAUUAGUACUUCGAUUUCACAGAAGCAAGCCCAUUUGCUAGUAUGCCUACAGCCAUUUCAGUCUUAAUUCCAAAGUCCCCACAUUAUAGUAUACCCUCCUUCACUAACAUUCUUGUAUCUUUUAAGAAAACCAUCUCACUUCCUCACUUUCCUUAACACUAGUCAUUCCAGUGAUCACAGAUAAAACUAUAUCAAGUUUAUAAAUUUUUAUGUACUGUACAUGAUGAUAAAGUUCCUUGGUGCACAUCAAAAACAUACUGGGAAAAACAGUCUGGAUUAUUCCCAGCUCAGGCAAAGGCAAAAUCAUCCAUGGGAUUGCUUUUGCUCACAAACUCAAUGCACUUGGUGGGUAAUACAGGAGGAUGGGGAAAUCUGGUGUGUGCCUAAUGGGAAUUCGAUUUUGGUGAAAUACAAAAAUUAGUUAAAUUGCAUUAUGUUAAUAAUUAUCCAACACUGUGCAUUACCACAUCAGUGGUGGCUACAUGUGCAUCACCUCCCUGAGCAGCUCACGGCAUCGAUCUUAACCACAGUCAUUCUGGGCAUCCCAGCCUGAUUUGCCUCUGACCACUGCAUCCCCACCAGUGAAGAAUAAUGGACUUUGAUAAAACUGAAAAAGCACAGCUGCACUGAAAUCACAACUGAGUCAAAUGUGCAGCAUGCCACAAUCCAACACCUUACAUCGUCUUUCCUGCCUAAGAGACAGUCACCAAGGAUAAAGGACAAAAGUAAAGGACUAAAUUAAUUCAACAAACUGUGUGUGUGUGUGUGUGUGAACAUUUGACACACACCUUCCAUAGAUUAAGAGAAUGGUGUUUGUAUAUCUAUCAAAACAGAUAAAUAGGAAAGGUGAUGGGAUAUUGAGGAAUGUGAAAUUUGUCAUAACAUAAAUGGUAUGGAGUAAAGGGUGGAUAUUGUCCUGGUUUCAGCAAGGGUAGUGUUAAUGUCUUCCCAGUAGCUGUUACAUGCUGUGUUCUGCUUUUGGAAUGAGAAUGGUGUUGAUAACACACUGAUGAUUUGGGUUUUCCUACAUCAUGUUUAUCCUAAGGUCUCUUUUAGGUUUAUCAAGGUCUCUUAGGUCUCCUCAGGUUUAUCAAGGUCUCUUUUUUCCCUUUGUCUCAUGUUCUGCCAGUGAGGAGGUACACAAGAGAAACUGGCAGGGAGCACAGGCAGGACAGGUGGUCUGAACUGACCGAAGGGAUGCUCCACACAGCAGAGCAUCAUGCCCAGGAUAUAAACUGGGAGAACUUGCCCAGAAUGUGGCUGAUCUGGGCUGGGGAAAGGGGGUCGGUCUGGCAUCGGUCAGCUGGUGGUGAGCAAUUGCCUUGUGCUUCAUUUGAUUAUUUCCUUAUCAUUAUUUAAAAUUAUUGUUGAAUUUUACUUAAUUUUCAAUUAUUAAACUGCUCUUAACAUAGGAGUUUUAUUUUGAUUCUCCUCUCCGUUCCACCAGGGUGGGGGAGGAGAGGGGAGGGAGUUGAAUGAGGGGCUGAGUGGUGUUUAAUUUCCACCUGGGCUUAAACCAUGACAACAGCACACCAGUAAAGAUUUUUCAAUAAGCAAAAGUUUUUCAUAUCCAUCACAGAAUCAGUUUGCAAGGAGAUGUAACUAACUUUAUUAGAGCAGAUGGUGCAAUUAAGAAAAAAGAAGCCUGGAUACAAUGUAAAAAUUGAACAUUUCUCAUUUGGGGCAAUAAAUACAUUAGUUUAACUUUUUGAAUUACAUUGACCCUUAAACAAAUUCUGGAAAAUUAAGAUUGUCAAAAGUGACAAUGAAUUUCUGAUUUCACUGAAAAGAAAUGUGUUAGUGGACCAGAAUAAAAUAUUUUUAUUAAUGGGAACAUUUUUAGUUUUCCAUUUAUAUUCUGAUUCUGAAUGAAAAAAUAAAAUACCUGGUAAAUCAAUUCCUAUACAGCUCUUCCUGUCCUAAUUCAACAAUAUCAGGAAAUGUAUAUACAAAACCCACUAAAACGGAAAAGAAUAUUAUUUUGCUUUUUUAGUCUUAAAAAAUAAGCUAUAUUUCAGUUCACCUUGAAACAGAGUGAUAGGUUGUUAUUGUUUUUAAAUGAAAGCAUGAAAAUUCAAGAAAAUAAUCAGUAAGAAAACUGAGGCCUGACCUGUUUGUUGCACAAGGGCAGGAGAAGCUGCAGAGAGGGAGUAACAGUAAUAAUAAAGUGAUAAGCCACAUUCUAAGCAGCAAAAGGUGAAUCACUUUCUUUGUCAGUCACAAAAUGGUAAGGACAAACAAGACAUUCACUAGCACCAACUUCUCUGAAAAGUUUGAAAGAUCUGAAAAUUGAUGGUGCUCUGAGAUUCAGGCUAUAGGAAACUGAGAAUAUUAAAAACAAACAAGAAUAGAAAGUGGAGGAGUUUUGGCUGACAUUUUCAGAAAUGCAUUUAGUACGGGAAAGAGUCUCUUUGGAGUAGAAAGUAACUAACAUAACCUUUUAGAAAAAGAGUCAAGGGACCCGACAGGAAAAUACAGAGCAGUCAUAUUCACAAUCUACUUUCGGAGAUCAAAAGGAAGAAUAGUUAAAAUAGCCAGACUUCUCUUGCUUCAAAUGCAUCCUUUGUUAAGACUUCUUUGAAGAUCCCUCUGACAUGCUGCUCAUGAGAGAUGCAGCCCUUAGCUAAGAUGUCCUAGUGCACUUGAUAACACAGCCCACCAGCAACAAAUGUCUAAUGUGAAGAAAGAAGCAUCACCAGAUAAGGCAGAAAGUGGAACAAUGGGAUAAGAAUAGCAAGUAGUCAUAAACAAAUCCUUUGCCUGCUGAAAAGAAUGUCUGCAUACCUUAGAGAUCAGUGUUAGAACCAGCUCAUUGCUUCAUCAACAAGUAAAUAGAAAAAUAAAGAAUUGAAAUAGUUUAUAUGUCUUGUACAAUAGCAGCAGAAAAUGCACAUUAAGACUGAAAAAAACAAAGUAUGUUAACAGUGAUUUAGUCUCUGAUGUACCUGCCCUGGAAAUUGUAUGCAAAGUAUAUUUCACCUUCUGCCAGAUAAGUUACAAAUAAACCCUAGUGACAUCAGAUAAAACAGCACAAAUGUUUGCAGAUGUCUCUUCAGAACUCAGCUAAGGUAGGUAGUUUGUGGGUUUCUAAUUUUUGGCACAGAUCCUCAGCUGAUAUAAGCUGCCUCAGGUCUAUUGAAGUCGAGAUGCCAAAAGUUAAAGCUAAGCACAUAGUUAA